RNAcentral lists this small nuclear RNA (20 nucleotides) under Arabidopsis thaliana (thale cress). Its description in RNAcentral is "snRNA_18050". The record is from RNAcentral. Lineage: Eukaryota; Viridiplantae; Streptophyta; Magnoliopsida; Brassicales; Brassicaceae.
CCUCAGACAGUUAUAUGGUU